This 148-nucleotide small RNA is filed under the name Pongo abelii (Sumatran orangutan). RNAcentral's name for it is "Metazoan signal recognition particle RNA (ENSPPYG00000034799.1)". It matches the Rfam family "Metazoan signal recognition particle RNA". From Rfam's summary of the family: The signal recognition particle (SRP) is a universally conserved ribonucleoprotein. It is involved in the co-translational targeting of proteins to membranes. Lineage: Eukaryota; Metazoa; Chordata; Mammalia; Primates; Hominidae. The record is from Rfam by way of RNAcentral.
GCCAGGCGUGGUGGCGUGCGCCUGUAAUCCCAGCUAUUCAGGAGGCUGAGGCAGAAGAAUUGCUUGAACCCGGGAGGCGGAGGUUGCAGUGAACCAAGAUCACACCACUGUACUUCAGCCUGGGUGAAAGAGCGAGACUCUGCCUCAA